UACGUAGGGGGCAAGCGUUGUCCGGAUUUACUGGGCGUAAAGGGCGCGUAGGCGGCGUGGUAAGUCACUUGUGAAAUCUCUGAGCUUAACUCAGAACGGCCAAGUGAUACUGCUGUGCUAGAGUGCAGAAGGGGCAAUCGGAAUUCUUGGUGUAGCGGUGAAAUGCGUAGAUAUCAAGAGGAACACCUGAGGUGAAGACGGGUUGCUGGGCUGACACUGACGCUGAGGCGCGAAAGCCAGGGGAGCAAACGGG
RNAcentral lists this ribosomal RNA (253 nucleotides) under uncultured bacterium. Its description in RNAcentral is "partial 16S ribosomal RNA". It matches the Rfam family "Bacterial small subunit ribosomal RNA", at positions 524 to 776 of the family's 1533-position model. The record is from RNAcentral.